GGAAUCUACCCAGUUCUCUGGAAUAACUGAUGGAAACGUCAGCUAAUACCGGAUACGCCCUUUUGGGGAAAGAUUUAUCGGGAUUGGAUGAGCCCGCGUAAGAUUAGCUAGUUGGUGGGGUAAUGGCCUACCAAGGCGACGAUCUUUAGCUGGUCUGAGAGGAUGAUCAGCCACACUGGGACUGAGACACGGCCCAGACUCCUACGGGAGGCAGCAGUGGGGAAUAUUGGACAAUGGGGGCAACCCUGAUCCAGCCAUGCCGCGUGAGUGAUGAAGGCCUUAGGGUUGUAAAGCUCUUUCACCGGUGAAGAUAAUGACGGUAACCGGAGAAGAAGCCCCGGCUAACUUCGUGCCAGCAGCCGCGGUAAUACGAAGGGGGCUAGCGUUGUUCGGAAUUACUGGGCGUAAAGCGCACGUAGGCGGAUAUUUAAGUCAGGGGUGAAAUCCCGGAGCUCAACUCCGGAACUGCCUUUGAUACUGGAUAUCUAGAGACCGAGAGAGGUAAGUGGAACUCCUAGUGUAGAGGUGGAAUUCGUAGAUAUUAGGAAGAACACCAGUGGCGAAGGCGGCUUACUGGCUCGGAACUGACGC
This 591-nucleotide ribosomal RNA is filed under the name Pelagibacterium halotolerans. Its description in RNAcentral is "bacterial SSU rRNA". It matches the Rfam family "Bacterial small subunit ribosomal RNA", at positions 121 to 746 of the family's 1533-position model. The record is from RNAcentral. Lineage: Bacteria; Pseudomonadati; Pseudomonadota; Alphaproteobacteria; Hyphomicrobiales; Devosiaceae.